ACACAGCAGCCUUUCACGCUGUCAUACAGGGGUUCGAAUCCCCUACGGGUCA
Molecule: transfer RNA, 52 nt
Filed under: Brevibacillus sp. BC25
Lineage: Bacteria; Bacillati; Bacillota; Bacilli; Caryophanales; Paenibacillaceae
Description: tRNA-Glu
Rfam family: tRNA
About the family: Transfer RNA (tRNA) molecules are approximately 80 nucleotides in length. Their secondary structure includes four short double-helical elements and three loops (D, anti-codon, and T loops). Further hydrogen bonds mediate the characteristic L-shaped molecular structure. tRNAs have two regions of fundamental functional importance: the anti-codon, which is responsible for specific mRNA codon recognition, and the 3' end, to which the tRNAs corresponding amino acid is attached (by aminoacyl-tRNA synthetases). tRNAs cope with the degeneracy of the genetic code in two manners: having more than one tRNA (with a specific anti-codon) for a particular amino acid; and 'wobble' base-pairing, i.e. permitting non-standard base-pairing at the 3rd anti-codon position.
Source: RNAcentral